CCACCCAUUCACACACUAACCCACCCACUCACACACUAACCCAUUCAUUCACACACUAACUCACCCACUCGUUCACACACCCACUCAUUCACAAACUCACCUAUUCAUUAACACACUAACUCGCCCACUCACACACUAACUUGCCCACACGUUCACACACUAACUCACCCACUCAUUCACACACUAACUCAUUCACACUCAUUCACACACUAACCCGACUCAUUCACACACUAACCCACUCAUUCACACACACACCCAUUCAUUCACACUAACUCACCCACUCAUUCACACACUAACCCACUCGUUCACACACCCACUCAUUUACACACCAACUCACCCACUCGUUCACACACCCUCUCAUUCACACACUAACUCACCUACUCAUUCACACACUAACCCAUUCAUUCACACACUCACCCACUCAUUCACACACUAACUCACCCACUCGUUCACAACCCAUUCACACACUAACCCACCCAUUCAUGCACUAACCCACUCUUUCACACACCAACUCACCCACUCGUUCACACACCCACUCAUUUACACACUAACCCACUCGUUCACACACCCUCUCAUUCACACACUAACUCACCCACUCAUUCACACACUAACUCACCCAUUCACACACGAACUCACUCAUUCACACACUAACCCACCCAUUCACACACUAACCCACUGACUCAUUCACACACUAACCCACUCACACACUAACUCACCCAUUCAUUUACACACUAACCCACCCAUUCAUUCACAGUAACUCACCCACUCGUUCACACACCCACUCAUUCACACACUAACCCACUCAUUCACACACUAACUCACCCACUUGUUCACACACAUUCAAACUCGCCCACUCAUUGACACACUAACUCGCCCACUCUUUCACACUAACCCACUCACACACUAACCCACCCACUCAUUCAUUCAUACACUAACCCACUGACUCACUCACACUAACCCAUUCACACACUAACCCAUUCAUUCACACACUAACUCACCCACUCGUUCACACACCCACUCAUUCACACACUAGCCCACUCAUUCACACACCCAUUCACACACUAACUCACCCACUCAUUCACACACUAACUCCCCCACUCAUUCACAAACUCGCCCACUCGUUCACACACUAACUCACCCACUCAUUCACACACUAACCCAUUCAUUCACACAGUCACCCACUCAUUCACACACUAACUCACCCACUCGUUCACAACCCAUUCACACACUAACCCACCCAUUCAUGCACUAACCCACUCUUUCACACACCAACUCACCCACUCAUUCACACACCCACUCAUUCACACACUAACUCACCCACUCGUUCACACACCCAUUCACAAAAUCCCUCAUUCACACACUAACCCAUUCACACACUAACUCAGCCACUCGUUCACACACCCAUUCACACACUAACUCAUCGACUCAUUCACAUGCCCACUCAUUCACACAGUAACUCACCCACUCAUUCACAAACUUGCCCACUGCUUCACACACUAACUCGCCCACUCACACACUAACUUGCCCACUCGUUCACAAACUCACCCAUUCACUCACUCAUUCAUACACUAACCCACCCACUUAUUCACACACUCAUUCACACAACCCAACUUAUUCACACACUAACCCACUCAUUCACACACUAACCCACCCAUUCACAAACCCAUUCAUUCACAAACUCACCCACUCAUUCACACACCCACACACUCACCUACUCAUUCACACACUAACUCGCCCACUCAUUCACACACUAACUUGCCCACUCUUUCACUAACCCACUCAUUCACACACUCAUUCACACACUAACCCGUUCAUACACUCACCUAUUCAUUCACACACUAACCUGCCCACUCAUUCACAAACUCAUUUACACACCCACUCAUUCACACUAACCCACUCAUUCACACACUACCUCACCCAUUCACACUAACCCACUCGUUCACACACCCAUUCACACUCACCCACUCAUUUGCA
RNAcentral lists this long non-coding RNA (1974 nucleotides) under Homo sapiens (human). RNAcentral's name for it is "non-protein coding lnc-SLC12A7-1:10". Lineage: Eukaryota; Metazoa; Chordata; Mammalia; Primates; Hominidae. The record is from RNAcentral.